GACGAACGCUGGCGGCAUGCCUAAUACAUGCAAGUCGAGCGAACAGAUGAAGUGCUUGCACUUCUGACGUUAGCGGCGAACGGGUGAGUAACACGUAAGGAAUCUACCUAUAAGCGGGGGAUAACAUUCGGAAACGGGUGCUAAUACCGCAUAAUAUCUUCUUCCGCAUGGAAGAAGAUUGAAAGACGGCUCUGCUGUCACUUAUAGAUGACCUUGCGGUGCAUUAGUUAGUUGGUGGGGUAAUGGCCUACCAAGACGAUGAUGCAUAGCCGACCUGGGAGGGUGAUCGGCCACAUUGGGACUGAGACACGGCCCAAACUCCUACGGGAGGCAGCAGUAGGGAAGCUUCCGCAAUGGGCGAAAGCCUGACGGAGCAAUGCCGCGUGAGUGAAGAAGGCCUUCGGGUCGUAAAACUCUGUUAUAAGAGAAGAGCAAAUUGUAGAGUAACUGCUACAGUCUUGACGGUAUCUUAUCAGAAAGCCACGGCUAACUACGUGCCAGCCGCCGCGGUAA
RNAcentral lists this ribosomal RNA (513 nucleotides) under uncultured bacterium. RNAcentral describes it as "partial 16S ribosomal RNA". It matches the Rfam family "Bacterial small subunit ribosomal RNA", at positions 28 to 523 of the family's 1533-position model. The record is from RNAcentral.